This 1859-nucleotide long non-coding RNA is filed under the name Helianthus annuus (common sunflower). RNAcentral's name for it is "hypothetical non coding rna". The record is from RNAcentral. Lineage: Eukaryota; Viridiplantae; Streptophyta; Magnoliopsida; Asterales; Asteraceae.
GUUUCUUCAUAUAUCAGAGUAUAGGAUAUAUUGUAUUCUACUUGUUGAAGUUGUAAUCUUUUAAAGUUAUAUUCUGAGUUUAACUUGAAAAACGAACACGUAAUCAAUCAGACCAGUUGCUUUGGUUUAUAACUUGGGUGUAAGGGGCAUUUAUGAAUGUAACUAUCAGUGUAAGCAUACAAUGGAAUUACGACACCUUUGGUAGAAAGAUGAAGGCUGUUGGAGCAAGUGAUCAUGGAGUGAGAUUGAAGCCAACUCUUAACUUACUAACAAAAACAAAUGUCAAUUUCAUAUUUACCAAAAGAUCAUCAUCAGUUAUGGAGUGGUUGGAGAUGAAGUGAUGAUGAUAGUGAUGGUUUCCGGUGACCGAACGACCGGAAUGAAAGCAGUGGUGAUGGUCGAUAGUGGUGGUUGCGGUUCAAGUUGGUGACGGUGAUGGUCGAUAGUGGUUUUUUUAAUUAAUAUUUUGAGGAUUGUUGGAAGGAGGUUUGUUAAGGUGAGUUCUAUUGGAGUGACCUAUGGUUGAGGUGUUUUGUGAGUUUGGGAGGGAAUUCAUUCCCAAAGCUCAAUACAUAAAUAAACAUACAUUGGACGCGGAAUCCGUUUUGAUGUCGGGUUAUCUUAUACCCGUUCAUUCGGAUCUAUAUAAAAGGCACUACCCAGUAAUUCAGACCACUUUCUUUCCUGUUCCCUCUAAACCCUGGCCGACAACUUCAUCGUAUUCUUUGUUCUUCUUUGCUAAUCUGCCCUCUCAAUUCGAAGAUGAAGAUGAGCAUCAGUCUUGAUGUAAACUCCAUGGCGUCCAGGCUAACAAGAGAUCUGGGCACUCCAAAUAAGUGAGACAGGCAAGAGUAAGACAGCCGCAAAUAUCUUUUUUCGUGCUCACAUGAAUUGGAACCUUUAGUUAUGUUUUUGGAUGAUAUUAUUUUUUUGUUUAAUUUUAUAGUUCAUUUUUAGUUUUGUAAAUCAUGAAGAAUAAGAGCCUUUUAACAGCUGCUUAAUAACCCAUUUUCUCAAGUGUUGUUGGUGCUGGUAUAUUUGCUUUAAGAAGUAUUGGUUAGAAAUUGGAAGGAUAUAUGCUCGGUUCUGAAAGACGCUGUCAAAGUUGGAGUAGGUGGGGAAGAAAAGUUGGGGGACAAAGCGCGGAUGGAGAGGGAAAAAAAUUCUUAGUCACUCAGUUUAUAAAUGAGGCGGCAAAUCGGAUCCGGAACAAGGUGGCGGCUGAAGAUUUUAGAUGGAACCUAUGAGUUCUAAAAGAGGUCCUUUUCUUUAUCUGGAAGCUCGUGCAGGGCUGCAUCGCUGAAAAAAUUGUGCUUCUGCAGCGUGGGGUUUCUAUUAUGUUAACGAGAGUUUUGCCUAUUGAGGAGAGACUCGGAACUUUGGAAGUGAUGGGUUCAAAAGCAUCUCAGCUCAUAUAAAAGAUAUUACAUCCAGUUAUGAAGCAGUUUGCUCCAGAAGAUGGUUUGGUUUCUUUGAUGGUUUGCUCUAGAUCUUGUGAUAACGAGUUUAAUUUGUUACAUCCUAUGGAUAUUGUUGGCAAAACGAAAGAGCAUACUUCUCUCCUGAAAGGGUCACCGUGGUUUCCAUAUGCACCCAAUAACAAAUUCAAUUUGGCAGGUGGCAGGAUACUGAGUUUCCUGUGACAUAAAGAGACCGUCUAGGUCUUCGAAGAAGAGCAAAACAAUUUACUUAAACAUAUGGAGAAAAGAGACACGAAAUAUAUGCGCCUUCAGAGGCAUAAAAUGGGUGCCGAUGAUUUUGAGCCAUUAACAAUGAUAGGAAAAAGGUCCAUUUGGAGAGGUUAGAAUAUGUAGGGAGAAGACUACCGGCAAUGUGUAUGCAAUGAAAAAACUUAAAAA